Long non-coding RNA from Cercocebus atys (sooty mangabey), 1232 nucleotides. RefSeq lists it as uncharacterized. NCBI's taxonomy places the organism in Eukaryota, Metazoa, Chordata, Mammalia, Primates, Cercopithecidae. The transcript is spliced from 2 exons. The record is from RefSeq and is a predicted model, not a curated record.
AGAGAUGGGGUUUCACCAUGUUGGUCAGGCUGGUCUCAAACUCCUCACCUCAGGUGAUUCGCCCGCCUUGGCCUCCCAAAGUGCUGGGACUACAGGCACCCAAACACACUUGGAGGUCAUGUUCAAUAUGAAUACCUCACAGAGAAGGAAAUUUACACACAAGAAGUACAUGCAGAGAAAGCCAGCUGGCAUGUCGACCAUUCAAAAACUCAGGGUAUUUAGGAUAAAAAAGACUCAGGAAGACAAGUAUGAAGCAUAAUCUGUGGCGUUCCACACAGCAGACAUUAGACACAUACAGGAGAGUUGUUGGAAAGCGGAAUUUAUCUUCAUAUAAAUAAUACUGAGCUAGAUCUUAAAUCUCAAUAUUUCAGAUCUCUAGAACUAUCCAUCAGUGAAAUGGAUUGCCAACAGAAAGAGCAAUACCAUGUCACUUAAGAAUACAAUCAUGGACGAGGCUGCCACCUGCUGUUGGGGGCCACUGCAGAAGAAAUUCCAGAACAUUGGGCUGUAGAGCAUCUCACUUUCCUUACGGCCCUAAGUUUCUGACUCAGUGACCUGGCGUCAGUACCAUAUACACCAAGACCCACUUACACAGAUGACUGUUCUUCACAUUAGGCCCAUGGAGACAGGGGUAAAAUUCUGACUUUGCUCAGAUACCUUCUCUGGUACUGACAUCUAAGCAUUACACAAUUCAUCUCUUCAUACUUAAUCUUUGAAGUUUGCUACUUCUCAGACAGACUAAUGAGUAAUGACCAAAUAUCCUGAAGCUUAGAAUGCUUCUAACUCCUCUCAAAACAGAAUAUUCAUCAAAACAGAGCAGUUGUGCACUUAAUUUUAGGCCUUGUCUAAUGCCUCCUUUCUUGGCAGUAAUUGUGGCCAGAAUAGCUCUUUCCAGGGACAGAGAAAGGACCUUUUGAAAGGAUAGGGUCUCUAGAUAGAAAAGCAAAUGCCUUAUUCCAGAAGGUCUUCAAGAAAAAAAGGCUGUGGUGAUAACAAAGAUAACUGAAUAUAAUCUAUUCUGUUAAAAAAAAGUUUAUGAAAUAGUAUAUGUGUAUACAGUUCAUAAAAAGCUGAAUAUAUAUAUGUGUAUAUAUAUAUACACACACACACAUACACACACACAUUCAAAUAAAUAAUAGUUAUCUCUAACUAGAGGAAUUCUGGUUGCCCUAUAUUUUCUUCUUUUUCCUUACUUUAUUUUCUACAAUAAACAUGUAUUCUUAACAAGAAAA